This 493-nucleotide ribosomal RNA is filed under the name uncultured bacterium. RNAcentral's name for it is "partial 16S ribosomal RNA". It matches the Rfam family "Bacterial small subunit ribosomal RNA", at positions 30 to 507 of the family's 1533-position model. The record is from RNAcentral.
UUUGAACGCUGGCGGCAUGCUUUACACAUGCAAGUCGAACGGCAGCGCGGAGAAGCUUGCUUCUCUGUCGGCGAGUGGCGAACGGGUGAGUAUAGCAUCGGAACGUGCCAAGUAGUGGGGGAUAACCAAACGAAAGUUUGGCUAAUACCGCGUAAGCUCUAAGGAGGAAAGUAGGGGACCUAAAUAAGGCCUUACGCUAUUUGAUCGGCCGAUGUCGGAUUAGCUAGUUGGUGGGGUAAUGGCUCACCAAGGCAAUGAUCCGUAGCGGGUCUGAGAGGACGAUCCGCCACACUGGGACUGAGACACGGCCCAGACUCCUACGGGAGGCAGCAGUGGGGAAUUUUGGACAAUGGGGGAAACCCUGAUCCAGCCAUGCCGCGUGUAUGAAGAAGGCCUUAGGGUUGUAAAGUACUUUUGUUAGGGAAGAAAAGCUAGUUUUUAAUAAAAAUUAGUGAUGACGGUACCUAAAGAAUAAGCACCGGCUAACUACGUG